GACCAGACUCCUACGGGAGGCAGCAGUGGGGAAUAUUGGGCAAUGGACGCAAGUCUGACCCAGCAACGCCGCGUGAAGGAAGAAGGCUUUCGGGUUGUAAACUUCUUUUAAGGGGGAAGAGCAGAAGACGGUACCCCUUGAAUAAGCCACGGCUAACUACGUGCCAGCAGCCGCGGUAAUACGUAGGUGGCAAGCGUUAUCCGGAUUUACUGGGUGUAAAGGGAGCGUAGGUGGCGUGCCAAGUCAGGAGUGAAAACCCAGGGCCCAACCUUGGGACUGCUCUUGAAACUGGCAGGCUUGAGUGCUGGAGAGGUAAGCGGAAUUCCUAGUGUAGCGGUGAAAUGCGUAGAUAUUAGGAGGAACACCAGUGGCGAAGGCGGCUUACUGGACAGUGACUGACACUGAGGCUCGAAAGCGUGGGGAGCAAACAGGAUUAGAUACCCGGGUAAA
RNAcentral lists this ribosomal RNA (450 nucleotides) under uncultured bacterium. RNAcentral's name for it is "bacterial SSU rRNA". It matches the Rfam family "Bacterial small subunit ribosomal RNA", at positions 329 to 794 of the family's 1533-position model. The record is from RNAcentral.